UACGUAGGUGGCAAGCGUUAUCCGGAAUUAUUGGGCGUGAAGCGCGCGCAGGCGGUUUCUUAAGUCUGAUGUGAAAGCCCACGGCUCAACCGUGGAGGGUCAUUGGAAACUGGGGAACUUGAGUGCAGAAGAGAAAAGCGGAAUUCCACGUGUAGCGGUGAAAUGCGUAGAGAUGUGGAGGAACACCAGUGGCGAAGGCGGCUUUUUGGUCUGUAACUGACGCUGAGGCGCGAAAGCGUGGGGAGCAAACAGG
This 253-nucleotide ribosomal RNA is filed under the name uncultured bacterium. Its description in RNAcentral is "partial 16S ribosomal RNA". It matches the Rfam family "Bacterial small subunit ribosomal RNA", at positions 524 to 776 of the family's 1533-position model. The record is from RNAcentral.